AAGUCGUAACAAGGUUUCCGUAGGUGAACCUGCGGAAGGAUCAUUAACACGUAUCCACGUAUCAACAACUCUGUGAACUCAAUCUCCCCGACAUUGGACAAGCUGUCCGCUUGGUUAGUGAUGGGUAUGCAGCCUCAAAACUGCAUGCAAUCGAGCGGACUUGGGCUUCGAGCCCGGUGCUAUCCAGUGAAGGGCUAACACUCUCCAUUGCUACAAACACACCAUUUUCACCUUUAAACUCAUCUUGACUGAUGUACUUAUGUAAGAGAAAUCUGGCAUGAGUCUUUAUCUAAACUAAGCACAACUCUUAGCAAUGGAUAUCUUGGUUCUC
Molecule: unclassified non-coding RNA, 331 nt
Filed under: fungal sp.
Lineage: Eukaryota; Fungi
Description: partial internal transcribed spacer region
Rfam family: Eukaryotic small subunit ribosomal RNA (bases 1-46)
Source: RNAcentral